AAACUUGCAAUUUCCACUGUAAAAGAUUAUAAUUGCAGGGUCGCGAAAGCGAUGAUGAUUCUGAAGUCUUUGCGGAAUAGACGUUUUGGACCCGGGGGCGGUACCCGGCAGCUCCACCAAUAAAAAUCUAUGGGGCUGACACAGUUUCGACAGGCGCAGUAAAGGCAAAAGAUUGAAUCCGACAUGGCGUCGUUAAAAGCCGUUUAAAAACUGAAUGGCGAUAGAAUCGCUGCGAACGACAAUGUUCGCCUUGCAAUGGCUGCCUAAUAUGGCGUUGAAUACGGUUGGCGAUUGUUGACCUUAUUCGUUUUAGCGAUUGCGGGGCCCGCCGGGUGCCUGGCACCAGAAAUCCCGGCA
Molecule: transfer-messenger RNA, 357 nt
Filed under: Alphaproteobacteria bacterium
Lineage: Bacteria; Pseudomonadati; Pseudomonadota; Alphaproteobacteria
Rfam family: Alphaproteobacteria transfer-messenger RNA
About the family: Bacterial tmRNA, also known as 10Sa RNA or SsrA, is named for its dual tRNA and mRNA-like properties.
Source: RNAcentral